This 65-nucleotide transfer RNA is filed under the name Bathymodiolus brooksi. Its description in RNAcentral is "tRNA-Lys". Lineage: Eukaryota; Metazoa; Mollusca; Bivalvia; Mytilida; Modiolidae. The record is from RNAcentral.
AGUUAGGAUAGCCUUGUAGGUGACGGGUUUUUGGCCCGAUGUUUGAGAAUUUCUUUGCCUAACUU